UACGUAGGGUGCGAGCGUUAAUCGGAAUUACUGGGCGUAAAGCGUGCGUAGUCGGUUAUUUAAGUCGGGUGUGAAAGCCCCGGGCUCAACCUGGGAAUUGCAUUCGAUACUGGAUAGCUAGAGUUCGGCAGAGGGAAGCGGAAUUUCCGGUGUAGCGGUGAAAUGCGUAGAUAUUGGGAAGAACACCGAUGGCGAAGGCAGGUCUCUGGGCCACUACUGACGCUGAGAAGCGAAAGCAUGGGGAGCGAACAGG
Molecule: ribosomal RNA, 253 nt
Filed under: uncultured bacterium
Lineage: Bacteria
Description: partial 16S ribosomal RNA
Rfam family: Bacterial small subunit ribosomal RNA
Source: RNAcentral